Molecule: ribosomal RNA, 387 nt
Filed under: Tigriopus fulvus
Lineage: Eukaryota; Metazoa; Arthropoda; Copepoda; Harpacticoida; Harpacticidae
Description: partial small subunit ribosomal RNA
Source: RNAcentral
GCGGUUACACUUGUUCUUCAACUCAAAGAAAAUAUUAGAAAAAAGCUUAUUAAAUUUGUCUAAUAAUAUUAAUAAUUAAAGAAGCUUCAAAACUUAUUCACUGAAUUGGAUUAGUACCCAAGUAAAAUAAUGGAUAAAGUUAGGUAAAACCUAAAUUAAAUGGCAGUAUUUUUUAUAAAGCAGAGAAACUUGAAGUUUAGAAAAUCCACUUUACUAUUAAUUUCUUAAAGGUUUAAGUAUGGCUGUCCAAAAAUAAAUUUAGGUUUAAAUUUGUAGUCAAGCAACAUUUAACUUAAGAAAAAACUUUGAGUUGCACAAAAAAUAUUACAAAGAUUUAUUACUCAAAAGGAUUUGCAAGUAAAGAUAAUUCUGAAAUAGUUAAGUACA